ACCAGCAUGGUUCAGUGAUUUGAAUGCUGGACUACAACUCUGGGGAUCAGGGUUCGAUUCCCUGCUCCGCCA
Phrynosoma platyrhinos (Desert horned lizard) is the source of this 72-nucleotide non-coding RNA. Lineage: Eukaryota; Metazoa; Chordata; Lepidosauria; Squamata; Phrynosomatidae. The record is from the annotation of a GenBank genome assembly.